ACAGGGGCCAAGCGGCGACGCGCGGCGCUCUUCGUACGCGCAGGCGCUGCUUGCGAGGAUGGCCCCCGUCAGAGUAGUUGCCGAGGCAGGCCAGUCCCAUCUGCGCGUGCUCACAGGAUUCGAUGGCGUUGAGAUAAGUUCCCCCUCCUUGCACCAUCCGCAUACCCUUCCCCCACUUUCUUCUUCCUCUCGCCCCGGUCACGAACCCUAGCUUUUGAUUCUCCAUAUCCCGUCCUCCUCCCGUUUCCCAUCGCAAACCUCUGCUCCCUGCGUUCAGAUCUGUGAGCUCCAGCUCUUUGCACACUCCUGUUCGUGCUGCUUUGGAUCUGCCGUGCCAGGACCUAAUCUGCCUGUUCUUGCUCUUCCUGUGCAGGUGCAUCCAUGGAUUCAGUGACCUAGGUCAAGGAAUGCCAAUUGCAGGAAGGUGGCCUAACUGAUUUUUAUUUGGAUCCUUUCUUUGCUUGAUUGAAUCUCAUACCAUGGAUAUUGAGUGUGCAUCUAAUUCUCUUAUCUGUACCUGCAGUGAGCUUAUUGGAUUUCGUCAACAGGAUUUCAGGAUCGUCUCCUGUUGAAGGGACGAGGGAUUCUGUUCCGGUUGCUGCUCAAGGACCUGCAGAGUGUUCAAUGUGAGCUUUAUGUGAUGUGUUGGGAAGAAUGUGUUGUGCCCUCUUUUGAUGCUCCCGUGCUGAUUGUGGUCCUUCUGUGUUGUGCUGGCUCAUGCGAUAAACUAUCAGGAUGCAAUGGCCAUAUGCAGAGUAUAUGGCCCUCCUGAUCUUUUUGUGACGUUUACAUGCAACACUAGGUGGAGAGAGAUUGCCGAUGCUUUGCAAUAUGAGCCAGCCCAGCAGCCCUGUGAUCGAUCUGAUUCGAUUGUGCGAGUGUUCAAUAUGAAAGUCGACAAAUUCAUAGAUGAUAUCAAGGAGGGUGGGAUGUUUGGUGUAGUACAUGCAGGUGAGAUAUAGUAUAUAGGCUAGCACUCAUGUUGCUCUUCAGCCUUUGUUAUUGUUAUGUCAGAGCUAAGUUGUUGCCCAUGCAGUUCAGUACACUAUAGAGUUCCAAAAGCGUGGCCUGCCCUAUAUACACUGUCAUGUCUGGCUAGCUGAUGGAGGCUCAGAGUUUAGUCGUUCUACCAUUGAUGUUGGGGCGAUGCGAACAACCAUGAGACAAGGUGAAAGCUCAAUGAGAGCCAUCACUAUACUCCUUCUAGCAGACACUCCACAGAGUACAAGGAACAAUGCUCAUGAUCAGGUCCCGUCCAUCCCCUAGCAAGGAAGUUCCUGAAAAGCUCUUUACUGGUGAAGAAACUGCAGAUGGCAGUGGUGGCAGUGACAGUGGUGCAGCCACCUCUAAUUAGAACAGUUGAAGCAAGGAUGCAUGAGCAGUGAAGCUCAUGUCAUUUUGUCUCUACCAGUUGCGGCUGACUUUUGUGUACCCUUUGUCUCUGGCGAGAAGAGUCCAAUGCAUGGGAUUUGGAGUCUGCAUCGACCUCGGCUUGCAAACUGUGUAGUAUGGUCAGUUAGUAUUCAAAGCUAUCAUCUAGGUUGUUUGGUAGCUAUGCAUACUUGCUGCAUGUAAAUUUAUGGUGCUCGGAUUUGCUGUGACCUGUGAUAUUGCUUCUCCAAAUGUCGUAUGCCGGACAGACACCUGAUGAUAAGAUAAAUUUGUGCUUAGAUGUAACCAUGGUGAUCAGAUGUACUAUGAUGUUCAUGAAUCUAAUGCCGGACAAACACCUGGUGCAUA
This is a long non-coding RNA of Panicum virgatum (switchgrass), 1740 nucleotides long. RefSeq lists it as uncharacterized. The record is from RefSeq and is a predicted model, not a curated record. The transcript has 5 exons. Lineage: Eukaryota; Viridiplantae; Streptophyta; Magnoliopsida; Poales; Poaceae.